GAUGAACGCUGGCGGCGUGCCUAAUACAUGCAAGUCGAGCGAAUGGAUUAAGAGCUUGCCCUUAUGAAGUUAGCGGCGGACGGGUGAGUAACACGUGGGUAACCUGCCCAUAAGACUGGGAUAACUCCGGGAAACCGGGGCUAAUACCGGAUAACAUUUUGAACCGCAUGGUUCGAAAUUGAAAGGCGGCUUCGGCUGUCACUUAUGGAUGGACCCGCGUCGCAUUAGCUAGUUGGUGAGGUAACGGCUCACCAAGGCAACGAUGCGUAGCCGACCUGAGAGGGUGAUCGGCCACACUGGGAUUGAGACACGGCCCAGACUCCUACGGGAGGCAGCAGUAGGGAAUCUUCCGCAAUGGACGAAAGUCUGACGGAGCAACGCCGCGUGAGUGAUGAAGGCUUUCGGGUCGUAAAACUCUGUUGUUAGGGAAGAACAGGUGCUAGUUGAAUAAGCUGGCACCUUGACGGUACCUAACCAGAAAGCCACGGCUAACUACGUGCCAGCCGCCGCAGUAA
Molecule: ribosomal RNA, 515 nt
Filed under: uncultured bacterium
Lineage: Bacteria
Description: partial 16S ribosomal RNA
Rfam family: Bacterial small subunit ribosomal RNA
Source: RNAcentral